UAACAUAAUACAUAUCCCUAUAUGUUUGCUUGAAGACUACGAGCAGUAGCUUAAAACUCAAAGGAUUUGGCGGCGCUUUAAAUUUCCUAGAGGAGCUUGUCCUAUAAUCGAUAAUCCCCGCUAAACCUUACCUUUUCUAGCCUUCAGCCUAUAUACCGCCGUCGUCAGCCCACCCUUUGAAGGCCUAAUAGUAGGCGGAACCGGCUCAGCCCCAAACGUCAGGUCAAGGUAUAGCACACGAAAAGAGAAGUGAUGAGCUACAUUUCCUAAGCAGGGUUACGGAAAAUCUUUUGAAAAACAGAUUUAAAGUAGAAUUUAGCAGUAAGUAAAAAAUAGAGUGUUUUACUGAAGUUAAAAUUAAUGCGUGCACACACCGCCCGUCGCUCUCCCCUAGCCUUAACUCAAAUAUAUAUAUAUAUAAACUUCUGUAACUCUCAGAGGGGAGAAAAGUCGUAACAUGGUAAGUGUACUGGAAAGUGCACUUGGUUAAAACAGAACAUAGCUAAAACA
This 510-nucleotide ribosomal RNA is filed under the name Austrofundulus rupununi. Its description in RNAcentral is "partial 12S ribosomal RNA". It matches the Rfam family "Bacterial small subunit ribosomal RNA", at positions 844 to 1533 of the family's 1533-position model. The record is from RNAcentral. Lineage: Eukaryota; Metazoa; Chordata; Actinopteri; Cyprinodontiformes; Rivulidae.